UACGAGAGGUGCAAGUGUUGUUCCUAAUAACUGGGCGUUAAGGGUAUGUAGAUGGUAAUUUAAGUUUGAAUAGUUUAUUAGUUAUUAAUAUUUUCAAAUACUAUUUUACUUGAAUAAUAUAUAAAAUAUAAGAACCGUUAGUUUAAGGUUUAAAUCUGUAUAGAUAAGCGGGAAUGUCCAUAGCGAAGGCAUAUAUUUAUAUAUUAUUGACAUUAAUAUACGAAAGCAUGGGGAUCAAACGGG
RNAcentral lists this ribosomal RNA (243 nucleotides) under uncultured bacterium. Its description in RNAcentral is "partial 16S ribosomal RNA". It matches the Rfam family "Bacterial small subunit ribosomal RNA", at positions 524 to 776 of the family's 1533-position model. The record is from RNAcentral.